GAUGAACGCUGUCUACAGGCUUAACACAUGCAAGUCGAGGGGAAACGACGGGGAAGCUUGCUUCCCCGGGCGUCGACCGGCGCACGGGUGAGUAACGCGUAUCCAACCUGCCUCUGACUGAGGGAUAACCCGUCGAAAGUCGGCCUAAUACCUCAUGGCAUCGUCUGCGGGCAUCCAACGACGAUUAAAGAUUUCAUCGGUCAGGGAUGGGGAUGCGUCUGAUUAGCUUGUUGGCGGGGUAACGGCCCACCAAGGCUACGAUCAGUAGGGGUUCUGAGAGGAAGGUCCCCCACAUUGGAACUGAGACACGGUCCAAACUCCUACGGGAGGCAGCAGUGAGGAAUAUUGGUCAAUGGGCGGGAGCCUGAACCAGCCAAGUAGCGUGCAGGAUGACGGCCCUAUGGGUUGUAAACUGCUUUUAUGCGGGGAUAAAGUGAGGGACGUGUCCUUCAUUGCAGGUACCGAAUGAAUAAGGACCGGCUAAUUCCGUG
RNAcentral lists this ribosomal RNA (491 nucleotides) under uncultured bacterium. RNAcentral describes it as "partial 16S ribosomal RNA". It matches the Rfam family "Bacterial small subunit ribosomal RNA", at positions 28 to 507 of the family's 1533-position model. The record is from RNAcentral.